CACGUAGGGUGCGAGCGUUGUCCGGAAUUAUUGGGCGUAAAGAGCUCGUAGGCGGUGUGUCGCGUCGGCCGUGAAAACCUGCAGCUUAACUGUGGGCGUGCGGUCGAUACGGGCAUCACUGGAGUUCGGCAGGGGAGACUGGAAUUCCUGGUGUAGCGGUGAAAUGCGCAGAUAUCAGGAGGAACACCGGUGGCGAAGGCGGGUCUCUGGGCCGAUACUGACGCUGAGACGCGAAAGCGUGGGGAGCAAACAGG
RNAcentral lists this ribosomal RNA (254 nucleotides) under uncultured bacterium. RNAcentral describes it as "partial 16S ribosomal RNA". It matches the Rfam family "Bacterial small subunit ribosomal RNA", at positions 524 to 776 of the family's 1533-position model. The record is from RNAcentral.